GAUGAAGAACGUAGCGAAAUGCGAUACGUAGUGUGAAUUGCAGAAUUCAGUGAAUCAUCGAAUCUUUGAACGCACAUUGCACCUCUCGGUAUUCCGGGAGGUAUGCCUGUUCGAGCGUCAUUUGUACCCUCAAGCUCUGCUUGGUGUUGGGUGUUUGUUCCGCCUCUGUGUGUGAACUCGCCUCAAAACAAUUGGCAGCCGGCGUACUUGUUUCGGAGCGCAGCACAUUUUGCGAUCCAGAUCAACGUACAGCGGCAUCCAAGAAGCCUUAUUUAACGCUCUUGACCUCGGAUCAGGUAGGGAUAACCGCUGAACUUAAGCAUAUCAAUAAGCGGAGGA
RNAcentral lists this unclassified non-coding RNA (339 nucleotides) under soil metagenome. Its description in RNAcentral is "partial contains 5.8S ribosomal RNA, internal transcribed spacer 2, and large subunit ribosomal RNA". The stretch from base 1 to 120 matches the Rfam family "5.8S ribosomal RNA", at positions 35 to 154 of the family's 154-position model. The record is from RNAcentral.